Molecule: long non-coding RNA, 942 nt
Organism: Alligator mississippiensis (American alligator)
Lineage: Eukaryota; Metazoa; Chordata; Crocodylia; Alligatoridae
Exons: 3
Source: RefSeq, a predicted model, not a curated record
UUACACCUGACACCUUUCACUAGCAUAGUUUACUCAGUAUUGCCAAGCCUCAUGAUUUCAGCACCAUGUAAUUUUGGCUUCUACUUGUGUUAAUCUCAUAGUGACAUGGGAAGCUCCAGCCAUCACACACAUUUCUGCCCUUUAACUGAGAUCCCUUCAAAUUACUGACCUUCCCAUUUUGCCCUACUCCUGGGAACGAACUAUCAGAAUCAGGGCUGCCAAGGGAAGCAGGAAGAGCUGCUUGGAUCAAGCAGCAGGAGCCAAAGUCACUUAGCUGUAUGCAUUUGGAAAAAUUAGGAACUUUCUCAAACACAAUGGCCAACAGACCAAAAUAUCAGAUUAGAACCACCUCUUUAAAAAGCAACCGUUUAAUCAGGGCCAGAAAAGCUGAUGAUUCCAUCUUGUGGGGAAUGAGAGAAACAGCAAGUCCAGAAAAGCCAAAGCUCUGAUACAGAAGAAUCUCUGAGAGAAAAAAAAUAAUGCAAACCUUAUUUUAGAGACAAAUUCAGUUAAAAUGGCAGAAAAACAACAAUGUAUAGUAAUAUACCAUUAAAAUGUGUUAUCAUUUUAGUAAUAUUCAAUUACAUUUUAACAUGCAUCUAAUCAACAGAAAAUCAAAUGUUUUGAUACAGAGCUUUGAUAUCUCUGCCACACUAUCUCUGUGACUAUGACAGAGGAAUAGAGGCAGAUAAAGGUCCAGAGAUGCUCUACUAGUGUAAACCAUGGUAUCACUGUUGAAGUUUAUGGAGCUAUGCAAAUUGAAAUAGGCCAGGGAUCCAAAUCAAACUAGUUUAUAUAUGUUAAUAAAAUGUGAUAAUAAAACUGGUAAGAAAGAAUUAUAAUGAUAAGAAUUCAUAAAGAAAAAAUAAGGAAUUGCAUAUUUAGCAUAUGGCUAUCAAAUUUAUUUGUAAAUGAUUUCUGAAAAGAAAUUUAAGCAAAGUC